Molecule: ribosomal RNA, 675 nt
Filed under: uncultured bacterium
Lineage: Bacteria
Description: bacterial SSU rRNA
Rfam family: Bacterial small subunit ribosomal RNA
Source: RNAcentral
AGAGUUUGAUCCUGGCUCAGAGUGAACGCUGGCGGCAUGGCUCAGACAUGCAAGUCGAACGCCUCGCAAGAGGAGUGGCAAACGGGUGCGUAACACGUGAGCAACCUACCCUAAAGUGGGGGAUAGCCCAGGGAAACUUGGAUUAAUACCGCAUGUGGUCCUGCUUCGCAUGAAGUGGGCACUAAAGCUUGCAAUGGCGCUUUAGGAGGGGCUCGCGCCCUAUCAGCUUGUUGGUGAGGUAAUGGCUCACCAAGGCUAAGACGGGUAGCUGGUCUGAGAGGAUGAUCAGCCACACUGGGACUGAGACACGGCCCAGACACCUACGGGUGGCAGCAGUUUCGAAUCAUUGGCUAAUGCGCGAAAGCGUGACCAUGCAAUGCCGCGUGGGGGAUGAAGGUUCUCGGAUCGUAAACCCCUGUCAUCAAGGAACAAAAACCGGUGAAGAGCCGGCUUGAGCUUACUUGAAGAGGAAGAGGUGGCUAACUCCGAGCCAGCAGCCGCGGUAAUACGGAGACCUCGAGCGUUACUCGGAUUCACUGGGCGUAAAGGGAGCGCAGGCGGCUGUGUGUGUCAGGUGUGAAAGCCCAGGGCUCAACUCUGGAACUGCGCCUGAAACUGCACAGCUAGAGACUCGGAGGGGUAUGCGGAAUUCCAGGUGUAGCGGUGAAAUGCGUA